RNAcentral lists this ribosomal RNA (253 nucleotides) under uncultured bacterium. RNAcentral's name for it is "partial 16S ribosomal RNA". It matches the Rfam family "Bacterial small subunit ribosomal RNA", at positions 524 to 776 of the family's 1533-position model. The record is from RNAcentral.
UACGUAGGGUGCGAGCGUUGCCCGGAUUUAUUGGGCGUAAAGGGCGCGUAGGCGGCUCUGCCCGUCCGUUGUGAAAUCGCCCGGCUCAACUGGGCGGGGUCAGCGGAUACGGCGGAGCUUGAGCAAGCUAGGGGGCAAUGGAAUUCCCGGUGUAGUGGUGGAAUGCGUAGAUAUCGGGAGGAACACCAGAGGCGAAGGCGGCUACCUGGACAAUUGCUGACGCUCAGGCACGAAAGCGUGGGGAGCAAAAGGG